CCUACGGGUGGCAGCAGUCGGGAAUAUUGCGCAAUGGAGGAAACUCUGAUGCAGUGACGCCGCGUGAAGGAAGAAGGUUUUCGGAUUGUAAACUGCUUUAGACAGGGAAGAAAAAAGACAGUACAUGUAGAAUAAGCUCCGGCUAACUACGUGACAGCAGCCGCGGUAAUACGUAGGGAGCAAGCGUUAUCCGGAGUUAUUGGGGGUAAUGGGUGCGUAGACGGAGAAGCAAGUUAGUUGUGAAAUCCCUCGGCUUAACAGAGGAACGGCAACUAAAACUACUUACCUAGAGUACUGGAGAGGAAAGUGGAAUUCCUAGUGUAGCGGUGAAAUGCGUAGAUAUUAGGAGGAACACCAGUGGCGAAGGCGACGUUCUGGACAGUAACUGACGUUGAGGCACGACAGUGUGGGGAGCAAACAGGAUUAGAUACCCCUGUAGUC
This 441-nucleotide ribosomal RNA is filed under the name uncultured bacterium. RNAcentral's name for it is "partial 16S ribosomal RNA". It matches the Rfam family "Bacterial small subunit ribosomal RNA", at positions 338 to 795 of the family's 1533-position model. The record is from RNAcentral.